Non-coding RNA from Callorhinus ursinus (northern fur seal), 101 nucleotides. NCBI's taxonomy places the organism in Eukaryota, Metazoa, Chordata, Mammalia, Carnivora, Otariidae. The record is from RefSeq and is a predicted model, not a curated record.
UCUGCACUAUAGCCAUUUGCCCCAAUUUAAGUUUAGAAAUUACCAGUUUCAGUAAUAGCUGAAUCACUGGUUUUCUCAAUAGCUGAGAUUGGAAGAGGGUC